UACAGAGGGUGCAAGCGUUGUUCGGAAUUAUUGGGCGUAAAGGGAGUGUAGGCUGUUUGAUAAGUCUUCUGUGAAAUCUACGGGCUUAGCCUGUAACGUGCAGAGGAAACUGUCAGACUUGAGUGUCGGAGAGGAUAGGGGAAUACCCGGUGUAGAGGUGAAAUUCGUAGAUAUUCGCAAGAACACCAGUGGCGAAGGCGGCUCACUGGCCCGGUACUGACGCUGAGGUGCGAAAGCGUGGGGAGCAAACAGG
Molecule: ribosomal RNA, 253 nt
Filed under: uncultured bacterium
Lineage: Bacteria
Description: partial 16S ribosomal RNA
Rfam family: Bacterial small subunit ribosomal RNA
Source: RNAcentral